CCUACGGGAGGCAGCAGUGGGGGAUAUUGCACAAUGGGGGAAACCCUGAUGCAGCGACGCCGCGUGUGGGAAGACGGUCCUCUGGAUUGUACACCACUGUCCCCAGAGACGAAGAUGACGGUACCUGGGGAGGAAGCUCCGGCUAACUACGUGCCAGCAGCCGCGGUAAUACGUAGGGCGCGGGCGUUGUCCGGAAUUACUGGGUGUAAAGGGAGCGUAGGCGGGACUGCAAGUUGGGUGUCAAAUCUACCGGCUCAACCGGUAGCCGCACUCAAAACUGCAGUUCUUGAGGGAAGUAGAGGCAGGCGGAAUGCCUAGUGUAGCGGUGAAAUGCGUAGAUAUUAGGAGGAACACAAGUGGCGAAGGCGGCCUGCUGGGCUUGUACUGACGCGGAGGCUCGAAAGUGUGGGGAGCAAACAGGAUUAGAUACCCUGGUAGUC
Molecule: ribosomal RNA, 440 nt
Filed under: uncultured bacterium
Lineage: Bacteria
Description: partial 16S ribosomal RNA
Rfam family: Bacterial small subunit ribosomal RNA
Source: RNAcentral